This 497-nucleotide ribosomal RNA is filed under the name uncultured bacterium. RNAcentral describes it as "partial 16S ribosomal RNA". It matches the Rfam family "Bacterial small subunit ribosomal RNA", at positions 28 to 507 of the family's 1533-position model. The record is from RNAcentral.
GAUGAACGCUGGCGGCGUGCCUAAUACAUGCAAGUCGAGCGAACAGACGAGGAGCUUGCUCCUUUGACGUUAGCGGCGGACGGGUGAGUAACACGUGGAUAACCUACCUAUAAUACUGGGAUAACUUCGGGAAACCGGAGCUAAUACCGGAUAAUAUAUUGAACCGCAUGGUUCAAUAGUGAAAGACGGUUUUGCUGUCACUUAUAGAUGGAUCCGCGCCGCAUUAGCUAGUUGGUAAGGUAACGGCUUACCAAGGCAACGAUGCGUAGCCGACCUGAGAGGGUGAUCGGCCACACUGGAACUGAGACACGGUCCAGACUCCUACGGGAGGCAGCAGUAGGGAAUCUUCCGCAAUGGGCGAAAGCCUGACGGAGCAACGCCGCGUGAGUGAUGAAGGUCUUCGGAUCGUAAAACUCUGUUAUUAGGGAAGAACAAAUGUGUAAGUAACUAUGCACGUCUUGACGGUACCUAAUCAGAAAGCCACGGCUAACUACGUG